ACGAACGCUGGCGGCGUGCUUAACACCUGCAAGUCGAACGGAAAGGCCCUGCUUGCCGGGUGCUCGAGUGGCGAACGGGUGAGUAACACGUGGGUGAUCUGCCCCUUACUUUGGGAUAAGCCUGGGAAGCUGGGUCUAAUACUGGAUAGGACCAUGCUGUAGGUGGUGUGGUGGAAAGAUUAGUUUCGGUAAGGGAUGAGCUCGCGGCCUAUCAGCUUGUUGGUGGGGUAAUGGCCUACCAAGGCGUCGACGGGUAGCCGGCCUGAGAGGGUGGACGGCCACAUUGGGACUGAGAUACGGCCCAGACUCCUACGGGAGGCAGCAGUGGGGAAUAUUGCACAAUGGGCGCAAGCCUGAUGCAGCGACGCCGCGUGGGGGAUGACGGCCUUCGGGUUGUAAACUCCUUUCAGCCAUGACGAAGCCCUUGUGGUGACGGUAGUGGUAGAAGAAGCACCGGCUAACUACGUG
Molecule: ribosomal RNA, 468 nt
Filed under: uncultured bacterium
Lineage: Bacteria
Description: partial 16S ribosomal RNA
Rfam family: Bacterial small subunit ribosomal RNA
Source: RNAcentral